This is a long non-coding RNA of Cygnus atratus (black swan), 596 nucleotides long. RefSeq lists it as uncharacterized. NCBI's taxonomy places the organism in Eukaryota, Metazoa, Chordata, Aves, Anseriformes, Anatidae. The transcript is spliced from 3 exons. The record is from RefSeq and is a predicted model, not a curated record.
UAUAAUUUUUCCAAUGUAGAAAUAAUUUUCUGUAACAGACUUUUUUUCAUACAAAAAUAGUUCUUGUAGUUUUUCAAAAAAAAAUUUAACAUGAUUUUUUUUUAGUCUUCAUGCAGACUGAAAUCUUGCUGCUCGUAGAAAGGACUGGUCUACAAAAAGGUUGUGGCACCUCCAGUGUCCUGGGUCUCGUUGUGCUAGGUCAUGUCCUUACUCUCCCUGGUGCAGUGUGGUUUCGUUUACUACUGGGAGCAACAGGAGGCAACAUCUGCUUGGAGAGGGAGAGGAGCUGGGAGCGCUUCAUCUGUAGGCAGCGUCUAGUUCCGAGGAUCACAGGGGAAGGAGAGAAGAGAUUGAAUUGUCUGACACAUACGUAGUCUGCAGAGCAUAGUUACCAAAAAGUGAUAAUCCUUAAUAGCUUGCAGGUCAGCGAGACGUGGGUGGUUGGGGUCUCCCAGUGUGAUUGAAAAAAGGCGCUGGUGGGGAGAAGCUGCCAGCACCCAGGAGCGUGGAUGUGACAGAUCCUACGAGGGUCUCCACAGGCAGCUGUCAGCGCUCACAACAUGAAGGCAAUUUAAUCCCAAUUUAAUCCGCCUCUG